RNAcentral lists this ribosomal RNA (788 nucleotides) under uncultured Bacteroidota bacterium. RNAcentral's name for it is "bacterial SSU rRNA". It matches the Rfam family "Bacterial small subunit ribosomal RNA", at positions 70 to 837 of the family's 1533-position model. Lineage: Bacteria; Pseudomonadati; Bacteroidota. The record is from RNAcentral.
AAAGGCCCCUUCGGGGGCCGAGUAGAGUGGCGCACGGGUGAGUAACACGUAGGUAAUCUACCUCUGGGUGGGGAAUAACGACCGGAAACGGUCGCUAAUACCGCAUAAUGCAGCGGCACCACAUGGUGACAGUUGUUAAAGCGGGGGAUCGUAAGACCUCGCGCCUAGAGAUGAGCCUGCGGCGGAUUAGCUAGUUGGCAGGGUAACGGCCUACCAAGGCGACGAUCCGUAGCCGGCCUGAGAGGGCGGACGGCCACACUGGCACUGACAUACGGGCCAGACUCCUACGGGAGGCAGCAGUCGGGAAUUUUGGGCAAUGGGCGAAAGCCUGACCCAGCAACGCCGCGUGAAGGAUGAAGCUUUUCGGAGUGUAAACUUCAUAAGAAUGGGACGAAUAAGGAGGGGUUAACACCCCCUUUGAUGACGGUACCAUUUGUAAGCUCCGGCUAACUCCGUGCCAGCAGCCGCGGUAAUACGGGGGGAGCAAGCGUUGUUCGGAUUUACUGGGCGUAAAGGGCGCGUAGGCGGCGCAACAAGUCACUUGUGAAAUCUCCGGGCUUAACCCGGAGCGGCCAAGUGAUACUGUCGUGCUAGAGUGCGGAAGGGGCUACUGGAAUUCUCGGUGUAGCGGUGAAAUGCGUAGAUAUCGAGAGGAACACCUGCGGCGAAGGCGGGUAGCUGGGCCGACACUGACGCUGAGGCGCGAAAGCCAGGGGAGCGAACGGGAUUAGAUACCCCGGUAGUCCUGGCCUUAAACGAUGGAUGCUUGGUGUCCGGGGUUACAUAGU